ACCAAAGUGCUUCACGUAUCAAAUCAUAAAAAAUCUUGAUUCGACCCGAAGUACCACUAAUUACCUCAAAGGCAGAUGGUAUUUGUGUAUGAAAUGUCAUUGUUCUGUACAUUUUGGCAUUACUUUUAUUACUGGUAGGCACAAAUACCCGGUACUCAUAUAAUCCUCAUUCUGGCAUAGAUUUUAUCAACAGAAAUUUUGCACGUUUCUGAUGUCCGAAUGAAGAAAUAUUAUGCCCCUUUAUAAUGACUCAAGUUCCAUAAAUUUUUGCUUAAUAACUCAAGCUCAUUUAAAUUUUUGCUUAUUAACUCAAUUUCCUUAAAGUUUCUGCUUAAUAACUCAAGUUUCAUUAUUAUAUUAAUUUUCUGCUUAAUAACUAAAGUUCCAUUAAGUUUUUGCUUAAUAACUAAAGUUCCAUUAAGUUUCUACAUAAUAGCUCAGGUUCCAUUAAACAAAAUAAACUUAUAUUUCACACAGUACUGCGGUAUACUGAACUCUCUUAUUUAGGUUCACACAGUGCUGCGGUAUACUGAACGCUCUUAUUUAGGUUCACACAGUGCUGCGGUAUACUGAACGCUCUUAUUUAGGUUCACACAGUACUUCGGUAUACUGAACGCUCUUAUUUAGGUUCACACAGUACUUCGGUAUACUGAACGCUCUUAUUUAGGUUCACACAGUGCUGCGGUAUACUGAACGCUCUUAUUUAGGUUCACACAGUGCUACGGUAUACUGAACGCUCUUAUUUAGGUUCACACAGUGCUGCGGUAUACUGAACGCUCUUAUUUAGGUUCACACGCUCUUAUUUAGGUUCACACAGUACUUCGGUAUACUGAACGCUCUUAUUUAGGUUCACACAGUACUUCGGUAUACUGAACGCUCUUAUUUAGGUUCACACAGUGCUGCAGUAUACUGAACGCGAUUAUUUAGGUUCACACAGUGCUGCGGUAUACUGAACGCUCUUAUUUAGGUUCACACAGUAGUUCGGUAUACUGAACGCUCUUAUUUAGGUUCACACAGUGCUGCGGUAUACUGAACGCUCUUAUUUAGGUUCACACAGUGCUUCGGUAUACUGAACACUCUUAUUUAGGUUCACACAGUGCUGCGGUAUACUGAACACUCUUAUUUAGGUUCACACAGUGCUUCGGUAUACUGAACACUCUUAUUUAGGUUCACACAGUACUGCGGUAUACUGAACACUCUUAUUUAGGUUCACACAGUACUGCGGUAUACUGAACACUCUUAUUUAGGUUCACACAGUGCUGCGGUAUACUGAACGCUCUUAUUUAGGUUCACACAGUACUGCGGUAUACUGAACGCUCUUAUUUAGGUUCACACAGUACUGCGGUAUACUGAACACUCUUAUUUAGGUUCACACAGUGCUGCGGUAUACUGAACACUCUUAUUUAGGUUCACACAGUACUGCGGUAUACUGAACGCUGUUAUUUAGGUUCACACAGUACUGCGGUAUACUGAACGCUCUUAUUUAGGUUCACACAGUACUGCGAUAUACUGAACGCUCUUAUUUAGGUUCACACAGUACUUCGGUAUACUGAACGCUCUUAUUUAGGUUCACACAGUACUGCGGUAUACUGAACACUCAUAUUUAGGUUCACACAGUACUGCGGUAUACUGAACACUCUUAUUUAGGUUCACACAGUGCUGCGGUAUACUGAACACUCUUAUUUAGGUUCACACAGUGCUGCGGUAUACUGAACACUCUUAUUUAGGUUCACACAGUACUGCGGUAUACUGAACGCUCUUAUUUAGGUUCACACAGUACUGCGGUAUACUGAACGCUCUUAUUUAGGUUCACACAGUACUGCGGUAUACUGAACGCUCUUAUUUAGGAUGGCUUUAUCAAUCCAUAAAACAAGUAAUUACAUUAAAUAUAAAAUCAGGUCCGUAAGUUCAGUGCCAUUACACCCAUCAAACUAAACAUGGGUACUAUAUAUGGGCCCAUUCAUCUGAUCACUACUUUGCUAUCUGAAAUAUUUAGCUGAAUAUUUCAUCAUCAGAGGGCCUGUCAUAGUCAGCCAUCUUGGUUGUUUGUAUCCAGAAUAACUGUAACAGAGAGGUCACUUUCAAUCUUGCGUCAAAUUUUAUAGUGCCCGUGGACACUAACAGGUACUCUGGUCGGUGAAAUAUUCAGUUGAAUACAGAAAUUAGUUAAGAAAAUGUAAGUGUGAUGAGAUUGAAUUGUUCCCUGUGGCUCAUGCAGCACUGUCAUCCCUCAACAUCAGACCAUAGUGCUCACCAAUGGAGGCAAUAAUAUAUCAAGUGCUUUCAUUAGAUGUGCUUUCUUGGCAUUGCAUUUUCAAGGUCAUUGUUAGUAAACAUAGGUGUUAAAGAAAUUUUAGUUGCCAUGGUAACCAGGUCACUAUACAAAAGUCCAUAACUCAUCCGUCCUUUGAUCAAUUUUAUUCAAACUUGGUCAAGUGAUGUAAUUUGUUAAUGCCUAU
This is a long non-coding RNA of Pecten maximus, 2459 nucleotides long. RefSeq lists it as uncharacterized. The transcript has 4 exons. The record is from RefSeq and is a predicted model, not a curated record. Lineage: Eukaryota; Metazoa; Mollusca; Bivalvia; Pectinida; Pectinidae.